This 2130-nucleotide ribosomal RNA is filed under the name Neoechinorhynchus sp. KL2292.1. RNAcentral's name for it is "partial large subunit ribosomal RNA". It matches the Rfam family "Eukaryotic large subunit ribosomal RNA", at positions 829 to 2835 of the family's 3401-position model. The record is from RNAcentral. Lineage: Eukaryota; Metazoa; Acanthocephala; Eoacanthocephala; Neoechinorhynchida; Neoechinorhynchidae.
AACUAUGCCUGAGUAGGAUGAAGCCGGAGGAAACUCUGGUGGAGGUCCGAAGCGUUUUUGACGUGCAAAUCAAUCGUCAGACUUGGGUAUAGGGGCGAAAGACUAAUCGAACCAUCUAGUAGCUGGUUCCCUUCGAAGUUUCCCCCAGGAAAGCUGGUGCCAUGUUUGACAGUUUUAUCUGGUAAAGCGAAUGAUUAGAGGCAUUGGGGACGAAUUGUCCUCGACCUAUUCUCAAACUUUAAAUGGGUAAUGUACCGUUGUACUUCUUGAUAUUCAUGAGUGCUCGGUCAAAUGCAAUGGCGCCAAGUGGGCCAUUUUUGGUAAGCAGAACUGGCGAUGUGGGAUGAACCAAACGUUGAGCUAGGAUGCCCAAAGUGCUUCUCAUGAGAUACCAUGAAAGGUGUCAGUCGAUAUUGACAGCAGGACGGUGGCCGCAGAAGUAGGAAUCCGCUAAGGAGUGUGUAACAACUCACCUGCCGAAUCGACUGGUCCUGAAAAUGGAUGGCGCUGGAGACGUAUAUCCAUGCUCGACCGUCAAUGCCAACGAAAGCGAUUGCUAUAUGGCUUGACGUGUAGAAGGGCGAUUGCCGUGGCGUCGAAACUUGCACCGUGAGGUGGGGUAGAGCUGCGGCAUGUGCAGAUCUUGGUGGUAGUAGCAAGUAUUCAAAUGAGAGCAUUGAAGACUGAAGUGGAGUAAGGUUCCAUGUGAACAGCAUUUGGACAUGGAUCAGCCGAUCCUAAGAGAACGUGUAAGUUCGUGAUUAAGCGCGUCGCCUUGUGCGUCGCAAUCGAAAGGGAAUCGGGUUAAUAUUCCCGAGCCAGGAUACGGAAUGUGCCUGAUUCAUCGGAAGUACCUUGUGUGCUUUCGACUUCAGGCAAAAGCGGCAACGCCAACAAACCCAGAGAUUAACUAUGCGGAGUCCGGGGAAGAGUUUUCUCUUCUUUGUAAGGGAUGUUAUCCCUGGAAACAGAUUGUCUGGCGAUAGGGUACGCAUCCCGUAAUGCAACGCGAUUCCUGCGAUGUACCGUGCGCUUCGUAUAGUGCUUGAAAAUCUGGGGGCGAGUUUGUUCAGGCCGUACCUGUUCGUACUGAUUUCCGCAGCAGGUCUCCAAGGUGAGCAGCCUCUAGUCGAUGGGACAAAGUAGACAAGGGAAGUCGGCAAAUUAGAUCCGUAACUUCGGAAAAAGGAUUGGCUCUAAAGGCUGAGUUGGUCGGGCGGUUGCGUGAAGCUGGGAGCGACGCUUUGACUCUGUCUCAGACUCCGUUCUCGCAAGGGAUGCGGAAUCGAGGACGGAACUUUGUCUACGCUCUCUGUGGACCGCGGUCGCUAUGCCACCCGUGCGGCAUCUAAACGUAAGUCUUGAGUCGUGCGACGUGGAUCCGAUCAGCGUUUAACAGCUGACCUAGAACUGGUAUGGACAAGGGGAAUCCAACUGUUUAAUUAAAACAAAGCAUUGCGAUAGCUGUAAUCGGUGUUGACGCGAUGUGAUUUCUGCCCAGUGCUCUGAAUGUUAAAGUGAAGGAACUCAUCCAAGCGCGAGUUAACGGCGGAAGUAACUAUGACUUUCUUAAGGUAGCCAAAUGCCUCGUCAUCUAAUUAGUGACGUGCAUGAAUGGAUUAUUGAGAUUCCUUCUGUCCCUGUCUGCAACCUAGCGAAACCACAGCCAAGGGAACGGGCUUGGAGAGUAACAGCGGGGAAAGAAGACCCUGUUGAGCUUGACUCUAGUCAGUCUUUGUGAAGAAACAUGAUGGGUGUAGAAUAGGUGGGAGGACGCGACAGUGAAAUACCACUACUAUCAUCGUUUCUUUACUUACUCAAUUGAUCAGGGAGCGUGAAUUCGCUAUUUGCGAUGUAUGAUUAUUCCUCUAGUGGAAUAAGUGUCUGGUUUGAGAACACAGACUGAUUGGGAGUUUGACUGGGGCGGUACAUCUGUUAAAAUCUAACGCAGGUGUCCUAAGGCAAUCUCAGCGUGGACAGAAACCUCGCAUAGAGCGAAAGGGCAAAAGAUUGCUUGAUCUUGAUUUUCAGUACGAAUAAAGACAAUGAAAGUUUGGCUUGUCGAUCCUUUUGAAUUUUACGAGUUUUAAGCAAGAGGUGUCAGAAAAGUUACCACAGGGAUAACUGGCU